Molecule: ribosomal RNA, 497 nt
Filed under: uncultured bacterium
Lineage: Bacteria
Description: partial 16S ribosomal RNA
Rfam family: Bacterial small subunit ribosomal RNA
Source: RNAcentral
GAUGAACGCUGGCGGCGUGCCUAAUACAUGCAAGUCGAGCGAACAGACGAGGAGCUUGCUCCUCUGACGUUAGCGGCGGACGGGUGAGUAACACGUAGAUAACCUACCUAUAAGACUGGGAUAACUUCGGGAAACCGGAGCUAAUACCGGAUAAUAUAUUGAACCGCAUGGUUCAAUAGUGAAAGACGGUUUUGCUGUCACUUAUAGAUGGAUCCGCGCCGCAUUACCUAGUUGGUAAGGUAACAGCUUACCAAGGCAACGAUGCGUAGCCGACCUGAGAGGGUGAUCGGCCACACUGGAACUGAGACACGGUCCAGACUCCUACGGGAGGCAGCAGUAGGGAAUCUUCCGCAAAGGGCGAAAGCCUGACGGAGCAACGCCGCGUGAGUGAUGAAGGUCUUCGGAUCGUAAAACUCUGUUAUUAGGGAAGAACAAAUGUGUAAGUAACUAUGCACGUCUUGACGGUACCUAAUCAGAAAGCCACGGCUAACUACGUG